Long non-coding RNA from Equus caballus (horse), 1589 nucleotides. The record is from Ensembl. NCBI's taxonomy places the organism in Eukaryota, Metazoa, Chordata, Mammalia, Perissodactyla, Equidae.
GCGUGAGUGUGAGAGAGAGAACAGCCCGGCAGGUCCCGAGGCGCUAGCUGGGGACGCUGCCUCGGAAAGUUCCCAGUCCCCAGCCGCAGCAGUUCCUGUGCAGUCUCCUUACGACACAAGAUAAGAAGGUCCCUUGCAGCUUCCUGGUAAUGAAUGACCCGAGAAUAACACCGCUACAACCUGCGGGAAAAGGAGAGUCGUUUGCCCGACCCAAGAUCUGCAGGAUUGAAAUGAAAUGUUUUGAGCUCUUCAAGCUGACUCAUCAGAAUCCUGAAGCGUUUUUUUAAAUGACGUGUGCCCAGAGCUUUGAGAGAAGAUUUUUUUUUAAAGAAAUGGGAGAAAAAAAUUAAAAUUGUCAAUAAGGAGUCUUUCAAACACUAGGCUCGGCCAGGAUUGAGCUGGAUGGUUCCUGGCACUUGUCAUUCCCAGCAAGGAACCAACACCAAGGACCUGGACCACGUGGCAUCUCUUAUGGGUGAAAGUGACUAGUGGUUUUUAAACAGCCAAUGUGUGCCAAGUAUUCUUACAUGGGGUUUGUUCGUUCUUUCACACUUCCGGUACAUCGCUAUUCAGAAGUAUGGUUGGAUCUUCAACUCCAUCUUAUGCCUCUGAUUUCAUCUAGCUCUCUCCACUUUGCUAUGCUAGAUUUUUCUAACGUAAGGGUUAGAAAACCAUGUAGGGUAACCAACCAUCAUAGUUUACUUGGGACUGAGAGGUCUCUGUGGACACAGGACUUUCAGUACUAAAACCAGGACAAUCCCAGCAAAACCAGGGCAGUUGCUCAUGUUACUCAAUUAUUGUAACCCCUAUAUUAACUAUCCUUGUUCUGGUUCUACUAGCCUGGUAAAACUACAGCCUAAUCCACUGGAGAAAAUCUCUCAGCUGGUUAGGCUAACACCACUAUAAACUCCUAGAUUGUCCAUAACACUACCUAAGAAUCCAAUAUUAUUUACGUCAACAACACUUUCCUGCUUUGCUAUAGUAAAGAGUUAACUUUCUUCGUCAUUGUCCUUAUGCUUUAAGUCUCUUAACAACCCACACUGCCGUCCCCUGGCUUCCUUGAAAAAACAGAAACUAACAAACUCAAAACUUACUGCCAACAGGCCUAAAGUGCCACCUCUACCACCUUCAUCACCUUUUAGUUAGAACUGAAGAAGCAUUGCUUCCUAUCUUAUCACUAAUCCCUUCAAUUGUAGUCUGAGUUAGUUUAUCCUGCCCUUCUCAACAAUACCUCCAAUUGGCCACCAAAUCUGGUUUAUUCUUGCUCUAGAAUAGUCCUGAAACCAUUCCAAUUUUAUGUACCUCCAGUGCCAACACCCGUAUCUUAACGUGACCAUUAUGGUAGCUUUAUAACCAGUCAUUUGUCCCCAAUAUGCCUACUUUCCAAUUGAUUUAUGACGGUAAACUCAAGUGAUCUUCAAAAAAUCUAAACUGAUCAUAUCCUUCUUCUUGAAUCAAAAUGAUUCAAAGACUUUUCAUCAUGCUUAACAUAAAACUUCAAAACAUUAACAUGGCCUGUAAGUUCUACAUCAUCUGGCCUAAGACUUGUUGUCUGGUUUGGUUUCUUCCUGUUUUGUUCUGUGCUUUAU